CUCUCAUCGUUUUAAAACAAGAAAUGGACAGUGACGGGGGAUUUAACUGGACCUACUCAUCUGUAAUGGUUUUGAUCAAUACAUGGAGAAAUUCUGAAGACAAAUUUGAGAGCCCCGUUACCAAGAAGAGUGAGGCCUGGGAAAUUGUAGCUCUAAUGCUUCAAGAGAAAAAGUUAUACUGUGACAUGGGAGACAUGCGAUGCGAAGUGGAGUCUGCACAGGUACAAGGCCAUCAUUGAUGGACAUCAGAAGACUGGUCAGGGGAGAAGAAAGUGAGAGUUCUACUUCAUGGAGGAUGCAGUGACCCCCGCAGUCAUUAUAUCAUCUUUUCCCACACGCAACACGCAACACUCACACCAACCCCAACAUCACUACACACACAACAUACAGCACACAAUACUAAUUACACUGUCACUCAGCCCAGCACCUCCACAGAUACCCCACACACAGCAUGCUACAGUAGCACUGAAACCCGGUCACCCUCUCUCUCUAAUACAACACCUUAUAACCCUCAUACCAACACCACUCCCUACAAACAAUACGAAAAUAAUACCAGAAGAGAUGCUCGAGGGCGAAACUGGACAGUAUCAUUGCACUUCAAGAAACAAAACAAACACUUCAAGCACAGAGUGAGAGAAACUAUUUUCUUAAACAGUUUACCGCUGCUCUCCAGAAUUUCAAAGAACAGUAGCCUAAAUGUAUUUAUUUCUUUAUUGUUUAAUUGUCAACUAAUAACUCAUUCUCCUGAGAUUUUCCUUGAUUGUAUGUUUAACUGAAAUUGUUAAUACCCAAUUGUUUUGGAACAUGUUUUA
Long non-coding RNA from Salvelinus sp. IW2-2015, 812 nucleotides. RefSeq lists it as uncharacterized. NCBI's taxonomy places the organism in Eukaryota, Metazoa, Chordata, Actinopteri, Salmoniformes, Salmonidae. The record is from RefSeq and is a predicted model, not a curated record.